UACGAAGGGUGCAAACGUUGCUCGGAAUUAUUGGGCGUAAAGCGCACGUAGGCGGCAUUGCAAGUCGAUGUGAAAUCCCUCGGCUUAACCAAGGAAGUGCAUCCGAAACUGCAGUGCUUGAGUACUUAAGAGGAUCGCGGAAUUCCCGGUGUAGAGGUGAAAUUCGUAGAUAUCGGGAGGAACACCAGUGGCGAAGGCGGCGAUCUGGGAAGAUACUGACGCUGAGGUGCGAAAGCGUGGGGAGCAAACAGGG
RNAcentral lists this ribosomal RNA (253 nucleotides) under uncultured bacterium. RNAcentral describes it as "partial 16S ribosomal RNA". It matches the Rfam family "Bacterial small subunit ribosomal RNA", at positions 524 to 777 of the family's 1533-position model. The record is from RNAcentral.